RNAcentral lists this ribosomal RNA (566 nucleotides) under uncultured archaeon. Its description in RNAcentral is "bacterial SSU rRNA". It matches the Rfam family "Archaeal small subunit ribosomal RNA", at positions 326 to 894 of the family's 1478-position model. The record is from RNAcentral.
CGGGGUGCAGCAGGCGCGAAAACUUUACAAUGCGGGAAACCGUGAUAAGGGGACACCGAGUGCCAGCAUCAUAUGCUGGCUGUCCGGGUGUGUAAAAUACACCCGUUAGCAAGGGCCGGGCAAGACCGGUGCCAGCCGCCGCGGUAACACCGGCGGCCCGAGUGGUGAUCGUGAUUAUUGGGUCUAAAGGGUCCGUAGCCGGUUUGGUCAGUCCUCCGGGAAAUCUGACGGCUCAACCGUUAGGCUUUCGGGGGAUACCGCCAGGCUUGGAACCGGGAGAGGUAAGAGGUACUACAGGGGUAGGAGUGAAAUCUUGUAAUCCCUGUGAGACCACCUGUGGCGAAGGCGUCUUACCAGAACGGGUUCGACGGUGAGGGACGAAAGCUGGGGGCACGAACCGGAUUAGAUACCCGGGUAGUCCCAGCCGUAAACGAUGCUCGCUAGGUGUCAGGCAUGGCGCGACCGUGUCUGGUGCCGCAGGGAAGCCGUGAAGCGAGCCACCUGGGAAGUACGGCCGCAAGGCUGAAACUUAAAGGAAUUGGCGGGGGAGCACAAGGGCGAUUCGC